Long non-coding RNA from Magnolia sinica, 1254 nucleotides. RefSeq lists it as uncharacterized. The record is from RefSeq and is a predicted model, not a curated record. The transcript has 3 exons. Lineage: Eukaryota; Viridiplantae; Streptophyta; Magnoliopsida; Magnoliales; Magnoliaceae.
AGCCCAAGGGAGGACUGAUGGCAAGUGGGUAGCUGCUGUGAACUGCACAAGUGGAGAUGCUUCUCCAGAUUGUCAUUGUAUACUGAAACUCCAUAUAUCUUGGGUGACAAACACCCUUUCCAAAAAUGGACAGUCAAGUAAGUACUGUGUCACAUGCACUGGAGAGUACCUCUGCAAUAUUUUGAUUCAUGGUAAUGUCACUCUAUGUGUGUGUGAGAAAUGUUCCUAUAAGGUCAAGCUUGACACCACGAGUCAGUGGUGAAAAUUGGCCCGACUGGAACUUGUCAGCCCCUGAAACGGGCGAGUCAUGACUUAUUCAUCAAUGGAAUGAGUUGGUCCAAGUUGGCCUGUCAAAGACCAUGCUUGUCUUAGAGUAGAAAAAUGCACUAGCAAAGAUUUGAGUUUUAUGAUAUCUCACCAGUUUAUUGUUUUGACAGGCUUAUAAUCCUUUGCUGGAUAUUCACAUUUCUUAAAUUUCUUUCUUUCUUUCUUUUCUUUUUGGUACUAAGAGAAUAAAAUUGUGUUUUCAGGUUUGCCAGCAACACAUGUAUGGCUGGGACUAUUAGGAGAAAAUAGUCAUUGGUGAUAGUUUGAAAAAUCAACUUCUCUUUUGAUAGUUGGAAAUUAAUGUAUGCAUGGCUAUUCGAGAGGAUAUAUCCACUACAACACAACGAGUGCACUGUCAUUAUCUUUUAGCCACUUUCUAUACAGCGCACCAUACUGAAUUUUAAAUUGCAAUUUGUGCUGCUAUGGUCUCUGUUUUCAGUAUGGUGUAGGAGGACAGAUGAGCUUGUUGAUGGCUAGGUUUUGGAAGCCUUUGGAGUAGACCCCAUCAAGGGGUUUACGGAUUUUCAGGUGGUGGAAAAUGCAAAAAUCUAGGCAGAAACGGUAUGGAUUUUUAAACAAAUAAAAAAUAAAUCCGGUCUUUUUUUAAUGGCCAGAGAGAGUUCUAUAUUACAACGGUUCUUUUAAUUGUAUAGCUAAUUUCAUUUUUUUGCUGACAUUGUUGUAAGAGGCAGCCAUGAUACGAUUGGAUAUAAGUGAAUAUAUGGAGCGGCAAAGAAAGUAGUUGGCAAGAUUAAAGUGGAAGAAGAGUAAGACAAGGUGUUCUUGUCCAGAGUGCGAUCAACCUCCUACAAAUACCCAUCCAUCGUAAGUUCGUAACAGACCAUAAGCAACAACAGCCAUGGCCAUACAAGAAUCUCUCUUGCUUUUCUUCUUUUAAUAUUAGAAUUUCUUUCUUCCAAUGCCUUU